Molecule: transfer RNA, 67 nt
Filed under: Rhabdoblatta incisa
Lineage: Eukaryota; Metazoa; Arthropoda; Insecta; Blattodea; Blaberidae
Description: tRNA-Asn
Source: RNAcentral
UUAACUGAAACCAAAGUAGAGGUAUAUUACUGUUAAUAAUAUCAUUGAGUAACUUAUUCCAGUUAAG